CUUGUUGCCUCGGCGGAUCAGCCCGCUCCCGGUAAAACCGGACGGCCCGCCAGAGGACCCCUAAACUCUGUUUCUAUAUGUAACUUCUGAGUAAAACCAUAAAUAAAUCAAAACUUUCAACAACGGAUCUCUUGGUUCUGGCAUCGAUGAAGAACGCAGCAAAAUGCGAUAAGUAAUGUGAAUUGCAGAAUUCAGUGAAUCAUCGAAUCUUUGAACGCACAUUGCGCCCGCCAGUAUUCUGGCGGGCAUGCCUGUUCGAGCGUCAUUUCAACCCUCAAGCACAGCUUGGUGUUGGGACUCGCGUUAAUUCGCGUUCCCCAAAUUGAUUGGCGGUCACGUCGAGCUUCCAUAGCGUAGUAGUAAAACCCUCGUUACUGGUAAUCGUCGCGGCCACGCCGUUAAACCCCAACUUCUGAAUGUUGACCUCGGAUCAGGUAGGAAUACCCGCUGAACUUAAGCAUAUCA
Molecule: ribosomal RNA, 465 nt
Filed under: Fusarium oxysporum f. sp. lycopersici
Lineage: Eukaryota; Fungi; Ascomycota; Sordariomycetes; Hypocreales; Nectriaceae
Description: eukaryotic LSU rRNA
Rfam family: 5.8S ribosomal RNA (bases 112-265)
Source: RNAcentral